This 330-nucleotide ribosomal RNA is filed under the name uncultured bacterium. RNAcentral's name for it is "bacterial SSU rRNA". It matches the Rfam family "Bacterial small subunit ribosomal RNA", at positions 568 to 898 of the family's 1533-position model. The record is from RNAcentral.
UGCGCAGGCGGUUUUGUAAGUCAGAUGUGAAAUCCCCGGGCUCAACUUGGGAAUGGCAUUUGAGACUGCAAGGCUAGAGUGUGUCAGAGGGGGGUAGAAUUCCACGUGUAGCAGUGAAAUGCGUAGAGAUGUGGAGGAACACCGAUGGCGAAGGCAGCCCCCUGGGAUAACACUGACGCUCAUGCACGAAAGCGUGGGGAGCAAACAGGAUUAGAUACCCUGGUAGUCCACGCCCUAAACGAUGUCGACUAGUUGUCGGGUCUUAAUUGACUUGGUAACGCAGCUAACGCGUGAAGUCGACCGCCUGGGGAGUACGGUCGCAAGAUUAAA